CGUGCCUCCAUCCACGCCGGCGUCGGCGGGCGUAUUUCGCCUCACAGUAGGUCGCCGCGACCCGUUGCUUUUGGGGACGUCGAAGGCCCGGACGGAUUGGUACCCUACCGGCUGGGGAUGCGGCUUCGGCUUCUCCUCUUGUCCGGUGGGCGAAACCGCCGGUGUCCUGGCUGCCCUGCGACGGUCGUAGAGACGAGCCCCUCCCAUUCAAUGUGGGGGGCGGCUCUCGCGGCGUGCAAAAGGUCGGUGAUCCACCCGACCCGUCUUGAAACACGGACCAAGGAGUCUAACAUGUGUGCGAGUCAGUGGGCGCACUAAACCCAGAGGCGUAAUGAAAGUGACACGGGUUCGGCUGUCGCCUCGUGUGGCAGCCGGACUCAGGGCCGAUCCCUCACCGGUUGCCUCGCCUCUCUCCCGCGUCUCGGUAAGCCGGGUGAGCUAUUUUCCCCGGCCUCUGCUGCGGGGCCCGGGGGGAGGCGGGGUGCGAUGGUGUCCGUAAAAAAGAGCCUGCUGUUGCAGGGGGGCGCAGGCCCGGGACUUGCCAGGACGCCGCGAGACUGUCACUUUGCUGUGAGGCUCCAGGGCCGAUCAGCGGGUCAUGCGUGCAGUCGGCAAGUACCAUGAGCAGACAUGUUGGGACCCGAAAGAUGGUGAACUAUGCCUGGCCAGGAUGAAGCCAGAGGAAACUCUGGUGGAGGUCCGUAGCGAUUCUGACGUGC
RNAcentral lists this ribosomal RNA (719 nucleotides) under Procambarus rogersi campestris. RNAcentral describes it as "partial 28S ribosomal RNA". The stretch from base 277 to 719 matches the Rfam family "Eukaryotic large subunit ribosomal RNA", at positions 665 to 894 of the family's 3401-position model. The record is from RNAcentral. Lineage: Eukaryota; Metazoa; Arthropoda; Malacostraca; Decapoda; Cambaridae.